AACGAACGCUGGAGGCAGGCUUAACACAUGCAAGUCGAGCGCCCCGCAAGGGGAGCGGCAGACGGGUGAGUAACGCGUGGGAACCUACCUAGAGGUGCGGAAUAACUCAGGGAAACUUGAGCUAAUACCGCAUGAGCCCGAGAGGGGAAAGAUUUAUCGCCUUUAGAUGGGCCCGCGUCAGAUUAGCUAGUUGGUGAGGUAACGGCUCACCAAGGCGACGAUCUGUAGCUGGUCUGAGAGGAUGAUCAGCCAAAUUGGGACUGAGACACGGCCCAAAGUCGUACGGGAGGCAGCAGUGGGGAAUAUUGGACAUUGGGCGCAAGCCUGAUCCAGCCAUGCCGCGUGAGUGAUGACGGCCUUAGGGUUGUAAAGCUCUUUCGACGGGGACGAUAAUGACGGUACCCGUAGAGGAAGCCCCGGCUAACUUCGUGCCAGCCGCCGCCGUAA
RNAcentral lists this ribosomal RNA (447 nucleotides) under uncultured bacterium. Its description in RNAcentral is "partial 16S ribosomal RNA". It matches the Rfam family "Bacterial small subunit ribosomal RNA", at positions 29 to 523 of the family's 1533-position model. The record is from RNAcentral.